CCACCACAACGGAGGCCUGAACAGUGUCAUCUGGGACAUGUCCCAGGUGCACCUCCCACUCAUUGGCUGCCUUCGCCCUCCCUGGUGGAGCAUUACCAAGGAGGACUAGUUCCACAAAUAUUUUUCUUAACAGUUCUUUGGGGCUAUAGGAAACUUAACUUCCCCCAUCCUGCUAGUCAGCCACAACAUGUUAUUGUCACUGUUUGCAAAGUGCUGUUUAAUCUUUGUUGUUGAAUCAUUUUUAACAUCCCCACCUGGAAGGCAAGUGCUCAUUUCUCCUUCUCAUGUGUGUCGUUAACUUACUUACCCUAAAUCACCCAUGCGGACUCCACCCAUGACCAGCCCCAUCCUAUCCCAGCCUAAUCCUUAGGCAACCGAGGCAGAGAAAACUCUAUGGCGAAGUCAACAGAAGGGUAUUAAUUCUAAUUAAUUCUAAUUACCCAAUACACCUUUGUGGAGCAUUGCGAUAGGGACCAUAGCGUAUUGACUAAAACUCCAUAGUCCUGUAGUCAAGGAACUACAGUUAUAGGAUCAAGAGGUACGGAAUUAAGGCCUGAACAGAAAGAAGACUGAGGCUGCAGCAAGUGCGCCAUGAAUCCGCCAUAUUCUGUAGAAGCCCCACGCCUGUUGAUUUGGUGUUUAUGAUACAUUCAAUGAUUUAACAAAUAUCAGCUGUGUCAGGUGCCAGGCAUUGCCCCAAGCACAGGAGACGCUGGGAUGCAUAAGAUGCCCGGUGCCAAGUCUUUAAACUCACACCUUCUGUGACUCAGUGACUCCUCUAUCGUGCCUUCCCCUGCUCCUGCAGAAGUGAAUUGAGGGGUAGGUCAGCUGGACAGCUGCCCAGGGUACUAAGCCCCAACAAGCUUAGAAACACUAACAGAAGAAGUUGGGAAAAUAUACACUUGCCCUUCUCUGAUGGAAAAAUAUGCCACUGUAGAGAGAAAGAAGCAAAGAUAACACCAGCUGGAGUUGGCUUUGGGGCUGUUACUUCUUUCCCAUGAUCAGUCAUGCAUUUUUGUGGUAUUGAUCCUUGGCCCAGACCCUGACUGGCUAAAGCCAAUAAUUCUAUCCCAUCGCAUCUCUCUGGCCGCCAUUAUUUGAUCCAUGAUGGCAGAAACCCAGUCAGAACCACUGAAACCUGUGGAGAAGUCUUCUAGGGCUUCUGGGAAAAAGAAAGUUCUCUCCCCUCCUUGAAAGCCACUCCUUCUGUGAUCCGUAUGGUGUGAAGACAUAAAGACCUGAACAGCUUCUUUACUACUAGGUCAGAAGACCACGGAACUGCCAAUGGGAAGCCAUUUGAGGCCUGAAGAAGCAAGUGAUGCUUUGGAAUGCAAAGAGGAAAUAUGGAAAGGAACAAAACUGGUCCUUGAUGAUUCUAGAUCAAACUGUACCUGAAGCUGGUCCUGCCUCUGGCCUUUUCACUGACGCAAGUUUAUACAUCCCGUUAUUCUUCAAGCCAGUUUGAGUUGGAUUCCCUGUCAUUUUCAAUGGAAAGAUUUUUAACUCACCAUUUGCUUUUGUCAAAUUGAUGAUGACAUAUUAAUACCUUUUCAAUGAGUGAUGCUGGGAAAAUGGGGCCAUGCUGUGGGUUUCUGCUUCACUGUUUUCUUUAGUAUGUUGUUUUCAAUUGGAAUGAAUACCUUCUUAAAUCAUUUUCUUAGUGGUCUCCUUGUCCACACUUUACAACACAGAUCAAGUAUCACUUUCCCUAUGAAUUCAUUACUGAGCAAGAAUGAUAAACACUGGAAUUUUAGAUCUGUUGAGACUGUCCCAAGUAAAAGUUGAGUACUUGUUUUAAGUUAGAUAGACAUGAUUUUGAAACCUGACUCUCUAAUUUACUAGCUGUGUGACUUUCGACAAUUUGCCUAAACUCUCUAAGAUACUUCUCCCAACCUGUAAAAAUCCUGUUAAUAAUAGCAUCUUAUCCCAGACAACUUUUGUGAAGAUAAAAUGAAAUAGUUCAUGUACAACAAUUACCAAGGUGCUUGACACAGAAUAAAUGCUCAAUAAAUGUUGAUGCUGUUGUUAGUGUUAACAACUUAUCAAGGAACCUACCAUCUAGAAAGAGUCCAAUAAAUCUAAUCUGCAGUUGUUAGUACGAUAAAUAUCUGCUAUCUGAGUAAUUUAAAAAGUCAUGAAUAAUGUUUGAAUGAAUAUGAGUUAAUUAAAAUAUAAUUCAAUGAAAAAAUGAAUGAAUGAAUGAAUGGCAGCUGGAAACUGAGAGGCAGGGACACAAGUAGAGGGGCUGGGCCAGAGGAUACGAAGGAGGAAGAAAGAACUGAAAGAUACCCUGUGCUUGAUGAGAAUGCCCUUCCCAUGAUCUGUGUCCCCGUCAGGUGGAAUGUUCUGCAGUGCCGCUCCCUUCAUCCUCUCAUCACUGCGGGUCAUCUGUCGGAAGCUUCUUGAUGGGCAGCUUUACAGACAGCCAUAAAGCGGCAUUUAUGGCCAAAGCCAUCAUAUUUCGUUGAGCUCUGUGCUUAGGGUGUCUACACUAUUUUCUCUCUUUUCUCUGGGUCCUAGUCACUCUGCAAAGAAGAAAUUUAGCAGAGAUGGCUGAAUUCCUUCUCAUGGUUCUGCAUAGCCUCUGAGAUAAAAUGCAAGAAACCUCAAGAACCAGAAGGCCAUUAAGAAUAAAUAGGAUAAUGUGGACGUUUAC
Molecule: long non-coding RNA, 2656 nt
Organism: Equus asinus (donkey)
Lineage: Eukaryota; Metazoa; Chordata; Mammalia; Perissodactyla; Equidae
Source: Ensembl